AGAGUUUGAUCCUGGCUCAGAUUGAACGCUGGCGGCAUGCCUUACACAUGCAAGUCGAACGGCAGCACGGGUGCUCGCACCUGGUGGCGAGUGGCGAACGGGUGAGUAAUACAUCGGAACAUGUCCUGUAGUGGGGGAUAGCCCGGCGAAAGCCGGAUUAAUACCGCAUACGAUCUACGGAUGAAAGCGGGGGACCUUCGGGCCUCGCGCUAUAGGGUUGGCCGAUGGCUGAUUAGCUAGUUGGUGGGGUAAAGGCCUACCAAGGCGACGAUCAGUAGCUGGUCUGAGAGGACGACCAGCCACACUGGGACUGAGACACGGCCCAGACUCCUACGGGAGGCAGCAGUGGGGAAUUUUGGACAAUGGGCGAAAGCCUGAUCCAGCAAUGCCGCGUGUGUGAAGAAGGCCUUCGGGUUGUAAAGCACUUUUGUCCGGAAAGAAAUCCUUGGUUCUAAUAUAACCGGGGGAUGACGGUACCGGAAGAGUAAGCACCGGCUAACUACGUGCCAGCAGCCGCGGUAAUACGUAGGGUGCGAGCGUUAAUCGGAAUUACUGGGCGUAAAGCGUGCGCAGGCGG
Molecule: ribosomal RNA, 577 nt
Filed under: uncultured bacterium
Lineage: Bacteria
Description: bacterial SSU rRNA
Rfam family: Bacterial small subunit ribosomal RNA
Source: RNAcentral